Molecule: ribosomal RNA, 600 nt
Filed under: uncultured Sphingobium sp.
Lineage: Bacteria; Pseudomonadati; Pseudomonadota; Alphaproteobacteria; Sphingomonadales; Sphingobiaceae
Description: bacterial SSU rRNA
Rfam family: Bacterial small subunit ribosomal RNA
Source: RNAcentral
GGAAAUCUGCCCUUGGGUUCGGAACACANUUGNAACGACUGCUAAUACCGGAUGAUGACUUCGGUCCNAAGAUUUAUCGCCCAGGGAUGAGCCCGCGUCGGAUUAGCUAGUUGGUGAGGUAAAAGCUCACCAAGGCGACGAUCCGUAGCUGGUCUGAGAGGAUGAUCAGCCACACUGGGACUGAGACACGGCCCAGACUCCUACGGGAGGCAGCAGUGGGGAAUAUUGGACAAUGGGCGAAAGCCUGAUCCAGCAAUGCCGCGUGAGUGAUGAAGGCCUUAGGGUUGUAAAGCUCUUUUACCCGGGAUGAUAAUGACAGUACCGGGAGAAUAAGCCCCGGCUAACUCCGUGCCAGCAGCCGCGGUAAUACGGAGGGGGCUAGCGUUGUUCGGAAUUACUGGGCGUAAAGCGCGCGUAGGCGGCUUUGUAAGUUAGAGGUGAAAGCCCGGAGCUCACUCCGGAACUGCCUUUUAGACUGCAUCGCUAGAACCGAUGGAGAGNUAAGUGGNAAUUNCCGAGUGUANAGUGAAAUUCNUAANAUUUCCGNAAAACCCCAGUGGCGAAGGCGACUUACUGGACAUCUGUUUGACCCUUAAGGUG